This 468-nucleotide ribosomal RNA is filed under the name uncultured bacterium. Its description in RNAcentral is "partial 16S ribosomal RNA". It matches the Rfam family "Bacterial small subunit ribosomal RNA", at positions 28 to 507 of the family's 1533-position model. The record is from RNAcentral.
GACGAACGCUGGCGGCGUGCUUAACACAUGCAAGUCGAACGGAAAGGCCCUGCUUUUGUGGGGUGCUCGAGUGGCGAACGGGUGAGUAACACGUGAGUAACCUGCCCUUGACUUUGGGAUAACUUCAGGAAACUGGGGCUAAUACCGGAUAGGAGCUCCUGCUGCAUGGUGGGGGUUGGAAAGUUUCGGCGGUUGGGGAUGGACUCGCGGCUUAUCAGCUUGUUGGUGGGGUAGUGGCUUACCAGGGCUUUGACGGGUAGCCGGCCUGAGAGGGUGACCGGCCACAUUGGGACUGAGAGACGGCCCAGACUCCUACGGGAGGCAGCAGUGGGGAAUAUUGCACAAUGGGCGGAAGCCUGAUGCAGCAACGCCGCGUGCGGGAUGACGGCCUUCGGGUUGUAAACCGCUUUCGCCUGUGACGAAGCGUGAGUGACGGUAAUGGGUAAAGAAGCACCGGCUAACUACGUG